UACGGAGGGAGCUAGCGUUAUUCGGAAUUACUGGGCGUAAAGCGCACGUAGGCGGCUUUGUAAGUAAGAGGUGAAAGUCCAGAGCUCAACUCUGGAAUUGCCUUUUAGACUGCAUCGCUUGAAUCAUGGAGAGGUCAGUGGAAUUCCGAGUGUAGAGGUGAAAUUCGUAGAUAUUCGGAAGAACACCAGUGGCGAAGGCGGCUGACUGGACAUGUAUUGACGCUGAGGUGCGAAAGCGUGGGGAGCAAACAGG
RNAcentral lists this ribosomal RNA (253 nucleotides) under uncultured bacterium. Its description in RNAcentral is "partial 16S ribosomal RNA". It matches the Rfam family "Bacterial small subunit ribosomal RNA", at positions 524 to 776 of the family's 1533-position model. The record is from RNAcentral.